UACGUAGGGUGCAAGCGUUGUCCGGAAUUAUUGGGCGUAAAGAGCUCGUAGGCGGUUUGUCGCGUCUGCUGUGAAAACGCGAGGCUCAACCUCGCGCCUGCAGUGGGUACGGGCAGACUUGAGUGCGGUAGGGGAGAUUGGAAUUCCUGGUGUAGCGGUGGAAUGCGCAGAUAUCAGGAGGAACACCGAUGGCGAAGGCAGAUCUCUGGGCCGUUACUGACGCUGAGGAGCGAAAGCGUGGGGAGCGAACAGG
RNAcentral lists this ribosomal RNA (253 nucleotides) under uncultured bacterium. RNAcentral's name for it is "partial 16S ribosomal RNA". It matches the Rfam family "Bacterial small subunit ribosomal RNA", at positions 524 to 776 of the family's 1533-position model. The record is from RNAcentral.